Long non-coding RNA from Ctenopharyngodon idella (grass carp), 382 nucleotides. RefSeq lists it as uncharacterized. NCBI's taxonomy places the organism in Eukaryota, Metazoa, Chordata, Actinopteri, Cypriniformes, Xenocyprididae. The record is from RefSeq and is a predicted model, not a curated record. The transcript is spliced from 3 exons.
CAUGUUUUCAUCUAGAGUUUAAAGAGAUCAGGUUAACUGAGGGCUGUGAAGGGAAUGUGGAGGUUUUCUACAAUGGAUCCUGGGGUAAUGUGUGCUGGAACCAGAUGGACAGAGACACAGUGAGUCUGAUCUGUCAAGAGCUGAACUGUGGAAGAUCUGGUGUUUUUUCCAAUUCUAUACCAAGACUGGAAUCAGCUCGUAACUGGCUGGAUGAAGUGAAAUGUCGACCACAUGAUUCAAAUCUGUGGCAGUGUCCAUCUUUACCCUGGGGACAGAAUGACUGUGGUGAAGAUGAAGUGGCCAAAAUCACCUGUUUGGAACAGGAGAGUCAUGAGUCCCCUAGAAGCUAUUUGUCAUGCUCCACAUCUUCACAUCAGAGACA